GGUCAAGUGAAGAAGCGCAUACGGUGGAUGCCUUGGCAGUCAGAGGCGAUGAAAGACGUGGUAGCCUGCGAAAAGCUUCGGGGAGUCGGCAAACAGACUUUGAUCCGGAGAUGUCUGAAUGGGGGAACCCAGCCAUCAUAAGAUGGUUAUCUUGUACUGAAUACAUAGGUGCAAGAAGCGAACCAGGGGAACUGAAACAUCUAAGUACCCUGAGGAAAAGAAAUCAACCGAGAUUCCCUUAGUAGUGGCGAGCGAACGGGGACUAGCCCUUAAGUGGCUUUGAGAUUAGCGGAACGCUCUGGAAAGUGCGGCCAUAGUGGGUGAUAGCCCUGUACGCGAAAAUCUCUUAGUCAUGAAAUCGAGUAGGACGGAGCACGAGAAACUUUGUCUGAAUAUGGGGGGACCAUCCUCCAAGGCUAAAUACUACUGACUGACCGAUAGUGAACUAGUACCGUGAGGGAAAGGCGAAAAGAACCCCGGAGAGGGGAGUGAAAUAGAUCCUGAAACCGUAUGCGUACAAGCAGUGGGAGCCCACUUUGUUGGGUGACUGCGUACCUUUUGUAUAAUGGGUCAGCGACUUAUUUUCAGUGGCGAGCUUAACCGAAUAGGGGAGGCGUAGCGAAAGCGAGUCUUAAUAGGGCGUCUAGUCGCUGGGAAUAGACCCGAAACCGGGCGAUCUAUCCAUGGGCAGGUUGAAGGUUGGGUAACACUAACUGGAGGACCGAACCGACUACCGUUGAAAAGUUAGCGGAUGACCUGUGGAUCGGAGUGAAAGGCUAAUCAAGCUCGGAGAUAGCUGGUUCUCCUCGAAAGCUAUUUAGGUAGCGCCUCAUGUAUCACUGUAGGGGGUAGAGCACUGUUUCGGCUAGGGGGUCAUCCCGACUUACCAAACCGAUGCAAACUCCGAAUACCUACAAGUGCCGAGCAUGGGAGACACACGGCGGGUGCUAACGUCCGUCGUGAAAAGGGAAACAACCCAGACCGUCAGCUAAGGUCCCAAAGUUAUGGUUAAGUGGGAAACGAUGUGGGAAGGCUUAGACAGCUAGGAGGUUGGCUUAGAAGCAGCCACCCUUUAAAGAAAGCGUAAUAGCUCACUAGUCGAGUCGGCCUGCGCGGAAGAUGUAACGGGGCUCAAACCAUACACCGAAGCUACGGGUAUCACGUAAGUGAUGCGGUAGAGGAGCGUUCUGUAAGCCUGUGAAGGUGAGUUGAGAAGCUUGCUGGAGGUAUCAGAAGUGCGAAUGCUGACAUGAGUAACGACAAUGGGUGUGAAAAACACCCACGCCGAAAGACCAAGGUUUCCUGCGCAACGUUAAUCGACGCAGGGUUAGUCGGUCCCUAAGGCGAGGCUGAAAAGCGUAGUCGAUGGAAAACAGGUUAAUAUUCCUGUACUUCUGGUUAUUGCGAUGGAGGGACGGAGAAGGCUAGGCCAGCUUGGCGUUGGUUGUCCAAGUUUAAGGUGGUAGGCUGGAAUCUUAGGUAAAUCCGGGAUUCUAAGGCCGAGAGCUGAUGACGAGUUA
RNAcentral lists this ribosomal RNA (1520 nucleotides) under Pseudomonas haemolytica. RNAcentral describes it as "partial 23S ribosomal RNA". It matches the Rfam family "Bacterial large subunit ribosomal RNA", at positions 1 to 1576 of the family's 2925-position model. RNAcentral also lists the same sequence under 1 other name. Lineage: Bacteria; Pseudomonadati; Pseudomonadota; Gammaproteobacteria; Pseudomonadales; Pseudomonadaceae. The record is from RNAcentral.